UACGUAGGUGACCAGCGUUGUCCGGAUUUACUGGGCGUAAAGAGCGCGCAGGCGGUCGUUCAAGUCGAGUGUGAAAGCCCCCGGCUCAACUGGGGAGGGUCACUCGAUACUGAUCGACUUGAAGGCAGGAGAGGGAAGCGGAAUUCCCGGUGUAGUGGUGAAAUGCGUAGAGAUGUGGAGGAAUACCGAUGGCGAAGGCAGCCCCCUGGGAUGACACUGACGCUGAAGCACGAAAGCGUGGGGAGCAAACAGG
This 253-nucleotide ribosomal RNA is filed under the name uncultured bacterium. RNAcentral's name for it is "partial 16S ribosomal RNA". It matches the Rfam family "Bacterial small subunit ribosomal RNA", at positions 524 to 776 of the family's 1533-position model. The record is from RNAcentral.